This 1090-nucleotide long non-coding RNA is filed under the name Canis lupus familiaris (dog). Its description in RNAcentral is "lncRNA (ENSCAFG00030005645.1)". Lineage: Eukaryota; Metazoa; Chordata; Mammalia; Carnivora; Canidae. The record is from RNAcentral.
AACAAGGAUAGGAAGGGAAAGAAAUGGGCAUUUGCCGUUCUCUAGUGAGAUUAGGGAUAUGGCUGAGAUUAUUAUUCAUGCCAUCUGUGUCCUUAUAAAAAUAAAGUCUUCAUAUAGUGGAGAUGACGGUUCUUAGCUUCACCUUGAGGACCCCUGAAACUAGAGAUUACUCAGUCUGUAUGCUGGGAAAUGGGCUGUAAACUCAUAAAGUGCUUUGAAUUCCUCAGGAGAUUUCACUUGGAGGUGUCAAUCCUCAAUAUUAAAAUAAAAUUACUUGUCUGUUGAGCCUCAGAUACACCUUCCUAAGUCACCUGAUGUUACAUUUAUUGAGCUAUCACGUCAGAGAAGGUUCUGAAAGUCUCAUUUUGGAGGGGCUCCCGUGGGAAAUUUUCUCAUCAGAAUUCUUGUUUUGAUAUGCUAACUCAUGCGACUAUUUUGCCUACCCAGAAAACAACUGAACACAUAACCAAGAGUCCCAGGCCUGCAGAAGGUGAAUAAACACGUCUGUCCUGAUGUUCCUGAACGUUCUCAGCCUGAAGCACACCACUGACUGUGCUACCGAGAUCUUGCUGCCUCUGAGCAGGAGUCCACGAGAAACUGCAGGGUAACCCUGCCCCAUGUUUAUGUCACAGACCAAGGCCAUCAGAGGGAACUCAUUCAAAUUCCUGCCACAGUUUCUGCAACUCCGAGAGCCUCUGUAGCUUGUCUUCCUCCUCUCUGACUGCAGGUAUCAAACAGAAAUUGCACUGGACACUUGUUCAAAACAGCAGGGAAGAUUUUAUUCAAGGUUAUUGCAACAUGGGGGAGAGAUUGUACUCAACUCCACAGACAUAGAAAUAGGAUAGUUUUUCAGCACCAGGCUGGGCUGUGGUGAAAGUCCUGGGGGUCCUUAGGGAAGAGGAGGGUCAAUAUGAUUAGACCAUCUGUGUCUUCUGAUUGUCUAACUUAAAACUGAAGUUAGGCUUCCACCCUGCAGGGAGAUGGGGAGACAGGGGCCCUGUCUUUCUUGGUAAUUACUUUUCAGGAUGCCUCCUGGAGAUUCCUGGGGUGUAGAAAAUUUACAUCUCAAGAGGUCACAGAAAUUAUAAGU